CCUACGGGAGGCAGCAGUGGGGAAUUUUGGACAAUGGGCGCAAGCCUGAUCCAGCAAUGCCGCGUGAGUGAAGAAGGCCUUCGGGUUGUAAAGCUCUUUUGUCAGGGAAGAAACGGUGGGAGCUAAUAUCUCCCGCUAAUGACGGUACCUGAAGAAUAAGCACCGGCUAACUACGUGCCAGCAGCCGCGGUAAUACGUAGGGUGCAAGCGUUAAUCGGAAUUACUGGGCGUAAAGCGUGCGCAGGCGGUUUUGUAAGUCUGUCGUGAAAGCCCCGGGCUCAACCUGGGAAUUGCGAUGGAGACUGCAAGGCUUGAAUCUGGCAGAGGGGGGUAGAAUUCCACGUGUAGCAGUGAAAUGCGUAGAGAUGUGGAGGAACACCGAUGGCGAAGGCAGCCCCCUGGGUCAAGAUUGACGCUCAUGCACGAAAGCGUGGGGAGCAAACAGGAUUAGAUACCCUGGUAGUCCACGCCCUAAACGAUGUCUACUAGUUGUCGGGUUUUAAUUAACUUGGUAACGCAGCUAACGCGUGAAGUGACCGCCUGGGGAGUACGGUCGCAAGAUUAAAACUCAAAUGAAUUGACG
This 583-nucleotide ribosomal RNA is filed under the name uncultured bacterium. RNAcentral's name for it is "bacterial SSU rRNA". It matches the Rfam family "Bacterial small subunit ribosomal RNA", at positions 338 to 915 of the family's 1533-position model. The record is from RNAcentral.